Maylandia zebra (zebra mbuna) is the source of this 373-nucleotide non-coding RNA. The record is from RefSeq and is a predicted model, not a curated record. Lineage: Eukaryota; Metazoa; Chordata; Actinopteri; Cichliformes; Cichlidae.
AAAAAGCUGUACGGCUAUGACGGAGAGGAGCUGCAUCUGGUGGCUUCCAGUUUCCUGGAACUAUGUGACAAAACGAUAGAGUAUCCAGCAUCCAAGCGCUACUACAAUGGAGAGGCCUUCAAAGAUAUGACUGAGGAGGACUGGAAAAAAGUUAAGAUGAGUGAUGUGGGGAGGAAACUGCAGGAAGAACAUAAAAAGCUGGUAAAUGAAACCCAGUCAGCGUUCGUAAGCCUAAUAUCAUAGAUUCUGGUAUUUGGCCAAAAGAGAGCUUCACAAUUCUUGGCUUCACCUGUGGUAGAAAAAUGACUGAAGUUAUGCAACACUCUCUAAAAUUAAAGCUAUGCAACGCUUUAACAUGAAUGGCGAAGGAGUG